RNAcentral lists this transfer RNA (74 nucleotides) under Solirubrobacterales bacterium. RNAcentral describes it as "tRNA-Gly". It matches the Rfam family "tRNA". Rfam says of the family: Transfer RNA (tRNA) molecules are approximately 80 nucleotides in length. Their secondary structure includes four short double-helical elements and three loops (D, anti-codon, and T loops). Lineage: Bacteria; Bacillati; Actinomycetota; Thermoleophilia; Solirubrobacterales. The record is from RNAcentral.
GCGGGCGAAGUGUUGUGGUUGCACAGAAGCCUUCCAAGCUUCUAGGGCGGGUUCGAUUCCCGUCGCCCGCUUCA